UACAGAGGUCUCAAGCGUUGUUCGGAUUCAUUGGGCGUAAAGGGUGCGUAGGCGGGCUGCCGCGUCCGGGGUGAAAUCCUCCCGCUCAACGGGAGAACGGCCUCGGAUACGGGCGGCCUGGAGGGGGGUAGGGGCAGGCGGAACGCUGGGUGGAGCGGUGAAAUGCGUUGAUAUCCAGCGGAACUCCGGUGGCGAAGGCGGCCUGCUGGAUCCUCACUGACGCUGAGGCGCGAAAGCCAGGGGAGCGAACGGG
RNAcentral lists this ribosomal RNA (253 nucleotides) under uncultured bacterium. RNAcentral's name for it is "partial 16S ribosomal RNA". It matches the Rfam family "Bacterial small subunit ribosomal RNA", at positions 524 to 776 of the family's 1533-position model. The record is from RNAcentral.